CCACUCGCUGGGGAGCCCCUGAGAGGCCAGCGCCCUGGCGCAACGAAUCACUAAGCCAUAUGGGAAAGAUGACCCUGUGAUCACCUCCCUCCAAAAUGGAACCAUCAAUCGCAAAGCACUUAAAUUCAGAGGACCACACCCUCUCUGAUACAGCAUAGUGGUUACUGCAGUAGAGAUGUCAUAUGAACAUUUUAAAAAGAAAGAGAAAGCUUCUAGAUAUAGAGAGGUGACACCUUAACAUCACAUGACAACAGCCUGGAAGACAAUACCUGACAUCACUCAGCAACAGCAAACAUAACACUUCUGGAUAUUCCAUCCUCAUUGUUCUGUAACUGCCACUUUGGCUACAGCAUCCUUUGAGUCACAUCAGGUAGGCAUUUUGCUAAGAGAAUUUAGUAACCCUGUUUCAUUAGUCACUGUAAUAAAUAUAUGAUUUUGGUGAUUUAACCAUAGCUUACCAGGGCAAACUCAUCUAAAGUGCUGUAUGAUGCUUUAAAAUGUGUAUGUACCUCGCUUAAUCUCAUGUUGGCCUCACAACAAAUGUAAAGGAUAUGACAGACUGAGCCCUGGCACAAUAUUUGUCACAGUCCCAUGGGGGGGGGGUCCCCAAGGGUCCCAAAAUUGCGGUACCGUAUUUUUUGCUCUAUGAGACUAAUUUUUUGCCUCCUAAAAAGUAAGGGGAAAGUGUGUGUGUCUUAUGGAGUGAAUGCAGGCUGAGCAGGUAUCCCAGAAGCCAGAACAGCAAGAGGCAUUGCUGCUUUCACUGCGCAGUGAUCCCUCUUGCUGUUCUGGCUUCUGAGAUUCAGAAUUUCUUUUUCUUCUUAUUUUCCUCCUCCAAAAACUAGGUGCGUCUUGUGGUCUGGUGCAUCUUAUAGAGCAAAAAAUAUGGUAAUUGAACUCCUGGAUGUGGCUGCUAAUAGGGAAUUUAUGAUAACCUGUCACUUUAAGAACCUGCUGAGAAAGCUUUAUGACACUGCUGAAAAAGCAUUUCGCUCUGCAAGAUUGCUGCCCCAUCCCAUAGGGCAGAGAAUAGCUAACACGCUUAUCGUAAGGACACAAGCUAUACACGCAGGUUCACAAAGCACAAUUGUUUUGCGUAACACAAUGUAUUCAUGUGAAGGCCAUACAGACACGGUGGGAAUCAAAGCCAUGUCAGCAAAACAGCCGAUGCUUAUGCUAAGCUUGUGCAAGCAUACUAACAUGAAAUGUAUCCAGUCUGAAGGCUGCUGUCCUAACCCCUCUUACUUGGGAGUAAAGCCUCAGUGAAUUCAGUAAGACUUAACUUCUGGUAAGUUUCUCUAGUACUAAAGAUAUACCCACAUAAGCUCUCAGAAGACAACACAAGAAAUGGCUUACCAUCAUAAUUAAUUCACCCACUUAUCCCAGCCUCCACAUUUUGCAACUAUCUUCUAGAAAAGCAAAUCUAGUCCAUCAUACCAUAUUACUGGGGCAACAUAUUACUUCGUGCAGCCACCAGAAAGGAAGAUCUUGAGUCCUGAAACCAGUUCUGAGCAACCCAUGGCACACAAGGUUCAUGCAGCCUCCAUUCUCCCUCUGUGAGCACCCACAUCCCCCUGUACUUAUUUCAUUGCCCCACCAGCACUGGAGAAGGGAAACAGCUGGCAGGCGCACAAGGGCAUUCGUGACAAAACCACAAAUGCUCUUGUUUCAUCAAAGAUGAUAAAGGACUGUAAAAAGGGAUCACAGAAAACAAUUCAAUUCUAAAUUAAAGUUCAAGCCGUUUGGAAUAACUGUAUCUAGGCGGGAGAUCCACUUUGACUCUAAUUGUAAUAAUAUCUUUUUUGAAUAUGUGUUAUGGGGUCUCAACCUAUUUUUCUGUAGCUUUUGAAAUCCGCCAGUUGUCUCCUAAUUUCUCUCAUGUAAUCAUUGGCACCCAUUAUUACUACAGCUCCCCCUUUAAUGUAAAGUUAAAAUGAACCAUCAUGCUGUUGUUUCCUUAUCAGGGUAUUAUAAAAGUCAACGUAUACCAAAAGGUUUGCGAAUACAAAAAGCUCCAACCUUGUUUCAGCACUGAGGAAUUUAAACAAAAAUGGAUUGUUACACGGACAAAACCACAAAGCAUGGGGGCUAGAGUGGCCCUUUGAAAACACAUUCUAGGCACUGCAAUUGCUGGUGGUGAACACGCAGCACAUGGGCGCCAUCUGGUGGGGCGAGGGCCCCCAGAAAUUUUGAUGGAGGGAACCGGGCCCCCUCAAUAUGUGCCAUGCACACACCAUGCUACGUGCUGAUGUCACUCGUGCAAGCAGCAUGGCAUGCGGGUGGCAUGUCAGCACAAUGUACAGCAUGUACAAGUGACAUCAGCACCACACCGUGUGCUCGCAUGACAUGAGCAUGUCACACAGCAUGCGUGCAUGGCAAGGGCAUGGCACACAGUGCCGGCCCUCUGAAUUGUGGGAUCAAGCCAGCGCGCUUGACGCAGCAGUUUGCCUGCCUGCUUACUCUUCCAUCAAUUAUCAGGAUAGAAAAUACUAUCAUAAUCAUUAAACAUUUCAGUUCUUUAAUUGGUGAACGUAUUCAAAUUCUCUGACAAUUUGUAGCAUUGCCCUUUAAGGUUGUCUGCCUAUUAAAUGCUUGUUUGUAUGUUUCCGUACAGGAACACAGUUAAAGGAGGAGAGAAAGAGAGAAUUUGACUAUUUAAAUCUUAAGCUAUCCUUUGGUUCAUAGUAAUGGCCGUUCAGUGAAAACAUAUUCUCUCUUCGAAAAGUAGGAACUGCCACCAUUAAUAUCAUUAAGUAUCCAAAGUUUCUAUUAAAUGUUCCACUUAAUUUCAAACAAACUUUUUAAUUGAGUAAUUUGAAUGCUUUAGUCUUGUUGGCAUCUUUGUUUUGUUUUUGGAAGGCACCAUGUACACUAAUGGUGGUGUAUAAAUACUUAAUUAUAAAAGAAAUCCAGCCCACAAGGCAAUUUAAGAUGCAACAUUCCAUUACUUUUCCUUUGGCAAAUAUUGUUACGGAAAGCUUAAUUAUACUUCAGGGGUAUGUCCUUUGGGUUAUUUCCUUAUAAAGAGGCUAGUUCAUUAUUAAAACACACAUACAUACCCCAAUACAUUUUUUGAAUCUGUAGAUAAAGAAGCAACUGAAGUUUAAGUUGGGCUUUUUUCUUUUCUUUUUAGCUUAUCCUGCUGUAAAACACAAUCAGAAUUUUUUGUUCCACUGACUGCACACCAAAAUUGAUUAGAAAACUAUAUGACCAAAAAUUCAGAUUAGGUUCCACAAAUACAAAGGCUAUUUCAUUAAUGCAUUUCAUCUCUCACUUUGGGAACUAAUGUGGUAAUUUAGAAAAUGCCAUUUUUUUGUCCUUCAGCAGAUGAUUGCAGGCAAUCAACAUGCUGUCUGUCUUGUAUACUGCCAUUUUUAAUAUAUCUUCCUACAGCAAGCAAGGAAAACGUCCUUGAAUUUCUUAGUGAAACGGCAAGAUGUUUAUCAGAUUUAUUCGUUAACGUCAGUUUCCACAGUCUCAGUCUGCUGCAGAGCUUCAAACUAUACAAUCACCCAUUAACGAUAAAGAAGCGUAGCUAGAUACACACAGAAAGUAUUGAACGGAUGACCUUUGGGUAUUAAACAGAAACACUUUGAAAGGCAAAGGAUGGUACAUUGCAAGACCCUUCUGCUCAGUAAAGCACAACACUGUAAACAGAGAGAGUUGGAGAUCAUCAUAAGGACGGGCUUCAGUUAUGUUCUCCCAUACGCCUCUCAUCGUCCUUUGGCUUCUUCAAUCUAGUUAUUUCCUCAGCUUCUGACCUAACUGCUUCACUUUAUUAUCACAGCGGGCCUUGAAAAGCAGAGUUGCUAUGGCUUCCUUGAUUUCCAUUGGCUUAAUUCCUCUGAGGUCACAGCAGGACUGGAAAUUGUAGACGAAAGUAACUGAUGUUUAGAAGCACUUGGGUAUACAUACAAGCUACACCUUAUAUGCACCUGCAAAUCAUGUCGUUGGCCCUUAUCCCAUUCAUUCCAAUAGGACCUAGACAGUAGCAGCCCAUGAGGUGGGGCAAAGCUGCGGAACUACUCUUCAGCAUUGCUGAAGUUUACAGUACUGGGAUGAGGACAGGAUAUAUCGUGACAGCAGAUAGGUUGAGACUGCACAACACACUGGUGGAAGCAGUGGAUUGGCUCUGCCAGUGCAGCUGUGCAGCCCCACUAUAGCCCCCCACACACUCCAGGGAAACUGCAGCAAUGCCAGCAUCGAGAGGAUGGCUCAAGCCCAUCACACAGGCCAUUGCUGCUCUGGCUUUGCUUCCUUGAAAAGAAGGCCACUGAUAAUAAACCUGCCAAUAAAAUAAUGAAAUGGUCCACAUCAUUUAAACAAACCUGUGGUGUGGGCCUGGAAUACUGUGCAUAGCUCGGAAAAUGAUAUUUUAGAGGUGGGAAAGAUGCAGAAAAAUGGCAGCCAAAAUGGUCAGGAAGCUAAAGAAAUUCCCUGCAAGGUUUAUUGUAUUGUGGUUAUGAUAUAAAAGAGUGAAGUUAGGGUGCAGCAAAGAGAUGGAACAAAAACACCACAGAAAAUGGGAUGGGAAGUCGAUAAAACAAAAGAAAAAUGCAUUACCUAUUGGAAUUUUUAUGUGAAAUUUGGGAGAAUUUAGUAUUUAUUUAUUUAUUUAUUUAUUUAUUUAUUUAUUUAAAAAAGCAAUUCCCAACAGGGAAAGGUUACAACGUCUAGGGCUUCUUACUUUUAGAAGAAGAAGAAAGGCAAGUUAAGAGGAACAUGGGCAAGGUUUAUAAAAUUAUGUAAAUGUGGAGAAACUGGAUAAAGAGAUGUUUUUCUCCCUCUCAUAUAAAGCUAGAAGCCAGGGCCAUCCUAUGAAGCUUAUUGGUAGGACAUUCAGAAUAGACAAAAAUGAGUAUUUAGUGCAUGAAACUUGCUGCCACAAGAUGUAGUGAUGGCCACUACCUCAGGUGGAGAGGUAAAAAAGCAGACUAGACAAAUCCAUCAAAGAUCAUUAGUCACAGUGGCUGAAUGCCACAUCCAGGGUUAUAGGUAGCAUGCCUCUGAAUACUAGUUGGAGGGGAACAGUAUGGGAGGGCUGUUGCCCUCAGGUUAUUCAUGUGGGCUUCUCAGAUGCAUUCAGUAGGAAACAGAUCACUGAAUUCUAUAGGAGAUUGGUCUGAUCCAACAGGGUUGAUCUUCUGUUACGCUCUUAACACAAAAUGUCCAAACUAUGCAUUCCGAUAGGAGGAACUAUAUAAAUCACAAUGGCAAGUACAAACACCUCUCUCUCUCUCUCUCUCUCUCUCUCUCUCUCUCUGUGUGUGUGUGUGUGUGUUUCCAAAUGAAACUAACUCUCUCUCCCUCUUUGGCUUAGAAGCUCCCAGAUCAUAACAUGGCUCGUGGUGAGACACACUGCAGUGCUCGCGACAAGCUGACAACUCUGCAGCAGAAAUCAGUCAUGCCUGAAGUAAACAGGGCAGAGCCAGACAUAGUGAUGACAACACAGGGACUGGUCAGUCCCCAGCCAUGCACCCAAGCUAUGUAGAGAUACCUCUACUCUCAGAGAAAGCACACUUUACUGAGGCCUUUAUUCUACCUACUACCAAGUGGGACGCGGGUGGCGCUGUGGGUUAAACCAUAGAGCCCAGGUCUUGCUGAUCAGAAGGUCAGUGGUUCGAAUCCCCGUGAUGGGGUGAGCUCCCAUUGCUUGGUCCCUGCUCUUGCAAACCUAGCAGUUCGAAAGCAUGUCAAAGUGCAAGUAGAUAAAUAGGUACCGCUCCGGCAGGAAGGUAAACGGCGUUUCCAUGCGCUGCUCUGGCCCGCCAGAAGUGGCUUAAUCAUGCUGGCCACAUGACCCAGAAGCUGUAUGCCGGCUCCCUCGGCCAAUAAAGCGAGAUGAGCACCGCAAGCCCAGAGUCGGCCAUGACUGGGCCUAAUGGUCAGGGGUCCCUUUACCUUUACCAGGUGUAGCUCUGCUCUUCUUCCUCUUAUCAUAGGGCUCACCCAGACUUCCCUUUGUGCUAUGUUUCUAGGCACAGGUUUGGGCUUUAAUGCUCUGUGUCUGAGCAGGGUUUAUUUUGUCCUGGUGCUUUCUCCAGAAAACCCCACAUUUUACCCAUGCCUGGUAAGCAUGGCGCAAAAGGACAUAUGGAUGAGCCCUUAUGUGCCUGCUGGAUUGAGACUGAGGCAUUCCCAUUGCCCAAUGCUAGUGCUGUCAAAAUUAGACACAUUAAUACUGGAAACAUCACAAGAGCCUGACCAUAUAUAUUAAUGUGGCCAUGAGGGAUUUGAGAAAAUUUACAGAAGGAAUUACCUAAAGAUUACUGAGAAAGAGAUGCCUCAUAGAUCUCAAAACGCAGACUGAUAAUCCCAGAAUUCAUUUACUAGCCUUUAUUUUGCUAAGGCCCCAGAGUCUGAACAAUCCUUUAAGCUCUAAUUUGGCAGCUGGGGGGAAAAAUGAGCCAGAAAGCAGCUGUUUGUAAGGAUUUCGAAAGCUAAUGAGGCCGAUACGAGCGACAGCAAGUUGCACAGGUAACAGUGUGUCUCCGCCAUUGGCUAGGUGGUGCUGCUACCGGUGGGAUAGUUUCAGGCUCAUGUUCUAUCCUGGUAAAUCUGAUCAAGGAAGGUAGGGGACGAAUCUUACUACAGGCUGCUGACAGGCCUUCAAGUGAUUAAGCUUAUUGCGGUGAUCUUCAAACCGAAGCCCCCUGCGAAGAACUGCCAGGUGGUCUGCACCGCCACAUCUGUCAAAACCGAGCUAACAUCUGCCAGUUCUUCCACAAAGAACUUUCUGUAGUCCAGCCUCAGAUUCCUCAAGAGACCCCCUUUUUUAAAAGCUAUGUGACAGAUAUUACACACACACAAAGCUCUAUAUAAGGAUGCUUUCCACCUCUCCACCUUGUGCAAUUGAUUCCUAUGUGAUGCGGGGGGUGGGAGUGGGGGGGCUUUGCUAGUCCUGUGGAUUUGACAAGGACAUAAAAAUUGCUACAGUCCUGAGGGUCAUUUUUUUUUUCCUGUGAGGUUGCCCAAGGCAGUUUAUUUUAUUUUUUUGCAAGGCUUGCCUUGUGGUUCUUAGCUGCAGGUGCCUGGUGGAGAGGAGAAGCAAGUAUCCCUGUCGGCUCUGCCUUGCUGCAAUUUUUUUUUCCACCAAAAGGGAAGAGAAGAGGAAAAGGUAGAAAUGUGUGUUAUUUGUCACCUUCCUUCCAUCUUCCUACACAAUGCUAUCAGCAUGUUUGAGAUGCUUAUCUGCAAAAGCUUUAAGUUGUCAUCUCCAUGCCGAUCCAGAUCUUUGUUGUGUAUUACAGCUACGCUAUUAUCAGUUGAUUCAAUAUUUCAUCUGCAUGCAAGUCUAGUUGCCUGCUUUCUAUUAUUAUUUUUCUUCUUCUUUACAGUUUUUGGAAAGAAUGUCAUCAAAACUGCCUCGUGCUUGGGAUGCUUAUCUGCAGUAUCACAUUGGCGGUUUUCAGCUGGACGAGAAAAAUCACAAAUAUUCAUCGUGUCCUAGGCACAGGGACACUGCUGCAAUAUUGAAAAAAAAAAAAAAGACUUGUGGAUCAACAGAAAAGGAAAGAUGGAGUAUACUGGGAGAGGGGAGAGCUGUAGGAACAGAAAUUUCAGGCUCAAAAUUACAGGGCAAAGAAGGAAAAACUGAGGAGUGGGGUCAAAAAUGCAGCAGGCUUGCGCGCACAGAUAUAGAAAUAGUAACUGAAACUAGUUACUAUAAGCAAUACUGAAACUAGGCUGGGGGAACAGGAUUCCUAAUACUGUGGAUGCAUCUUGUGGAAGAAUGUAAAAUAGACAAAGGUUGUGUACUACAAAAUAAAAGGGUGGCAAUACACAAUCUUUUCCUUCCAGUAUAGAAUAAUCAACAUAUUUUUCGCUCCAUAAGACACACUUUUCCCCUCCUAAAAUGUAAGGGGAAAUGUGUGUGCAUCUUAUGGAGCGAAUGCAGGCAGCG
This is a non-coding RNA of Podarcis lilfordi (Lilford's wall lizard), 7903 nucleotides long. The record is from the annotation of a GenBank genome assembly. NCBI's taxonomy places the organism in Eukaryota, Metazoa, Chordata, Lepidosauria, Squamata, Lacertidae.